CAGUCGCCGCGGUAAUACGAAGGGGGCUAGCGUUGCUCGGAAUGACUGGGCGUAAAGGGCGCGUAGGCGGAUUGUUUAGUUAGGCGUGAAAGUCCGGGGCUCAACCCCGGAUCUGCGGUGGGUACGGGCAGACUAGAGUGAUGUAGGGGAGACUGGAAUUCCUGGUGUAGAGGUGAAAUUCGUAGAUAUUGGGAAGAACACCGGUGGCGAAGGCGGCGACCUGGUCCAUUACUGACGCUGAGGCGCGAAAGCGUGGGAGCAAACAGGAUUAGAUACCCGCGUAGUCCCUGUCUCUUAUACA
Molecule: ribosomal RNA, 301 nt
Filed under: uncultured bacterium
Lineage: Bacteria
Description: partial 16S ribosomal RNA
Rfam family: Bacterial small subunit ribosomal RNA
Source: RNAcentral